RNAcentral lists this ribosomal RNA (506 nucleotides) under uncultured bacterium. RNAcentral describes it as "partial 16S ribosomal RNA". It matches the Rfam family "Bacterial small subunit ribosomal RNA", at positions 29 to 523 of the family's 1533-position model. The record is from RNAcentral.
AGUGAACGCUGGCGGUAGGCCUAACACAUGCAAGUCGAACGGCAGCACAGAGGAGCUUGCUCCUUGGGUGGCGAGUGGCGGACGGGUGAGGAAUGCAUCGGAAUCUACUCUGUCGUGGGGGAUAACGUAGGGAAACUUACGCUAAUACCGCAUACGACCUACGGGUGAAAGCAGGGGACCUUCGGGCCUUGCGCGAUUGAAUGAGCCGAUGUCGGAUUAGAUAGUUGGCGGGGUAAAGGCCCACCAAGGCGACGAUCCGUAGCUGGUCUGAGAGGAUGAUCAGCCACACUGGAACUGAGACACGAUCCAGGCUCCUACGGGAGGCAGCAGUGGGGAAUAUUGGACAAUGGGCGCAAGCCUGAUCCAGCCAUACCGCGUGGGUGAAGAAGGCCUUCGGGUUGUAAAGCCCUUUUGUUGGGAAAGAAAUCCAGCUGGCUAAUACCCGGUUGGGAUGACGGUACCCAAAGAAUAAGCACCGGCUAACUUCGUGCCAGCCGCCGCAGUAA